CUUGCCUUGUCGGGUCUUCUUUAAGGUUUUGAAACCCUACAACAAACAAACAAAAGAUGAAAAAGGUUUCAUCUUUUUCUAUUUGUCUCUCAUUGUUUAGAGAGCGGUCGCCAUGCUGAAGGUAAGGGUUUGAGGUGAGAAGGCAACUCAGGCUGCCCUGGAUAAGUAUUAAUGCCAUUCUUUUGCAGAUUUUUGGAAGCCACUACUAAGCCCUAUGAAGCUGCAAAAUUUUAUGUUAUCUUUGCUGAAGAAAAACCAUAGGGAAGAGCGAGGCAAGUAUGAUCGAUGCUCUGUCCUCCUUCUCUCAUGCCUGUGAGCUAUACUCGUUGAUUAUGUUAUUGUUGCACAUUAUUCAUGCCUUUAGCAAAGGGCAAUGGACUAUUCUAAUACACUCAUGGUUGUUUCCUUGAUCUUGGGUUAUCUUCUCACAAGUAUAUUACUUUUUUGGCAUAGAUAACUUUGUAAAUUCAUUGUCUUUUCACAAGUCAAUAUCAUCUCUCAAGGUCUCUAUUA
Molecule: long non-coding RNA, 513 nt
Organism: Cryptomeria japonica (Japanese cedar)
Lineage: Eukaryota; Viridiplantae; Streptophyta; Pinopsida; Cupressales; Cupressaceae
Exons: 2
Source: RefSeq, a predicted model, not a curated record